CGGGGCAACCCGCAAGUAGAGUGGCGCAAGGGCGAGGAAUACAUUUCUAACGUGCCCCGAGGUCAGGGACAGCUCAGGGAAACCUGAAUUAAUACCUGAUGAUCCCGUCGAGCCGCAGGGCUUGACGGGCAAAGGCUUGCUGCCUUGGGAUCGGGAAAUGUCCUAUCAGCUAGUUGGUGAGGUAACGGCUCACCAAGGCUAAGACGGGUAGCGGGUGUGAGAGCACGGCCCGCCGCAUCGGGACUGAGACACUGCCCGGACUCCUACGGGAGGCUGCAGUAACGAAUAUUCCGCAAUGCGCGAAAGCGUGACGGAGCAAUGCCGCGUGAAGGACGAAGCCCCUCGGGGUGUAAACUUCUGUCAGGGUUCACCAAUUUUGAGGAGACCCAAAGGAAGGGCCGACUAACUCUGUGCCAGCAGUCGCGGUAAUACAGAGGGCCCGAGCGUUGCGCGGAUUCACUGGGCUUAAAGGGUGCGUAGGCGGACGUGAAAGUGUCUUGUGAAAUACCACGGCUUAACCGUGGAAUGGCUGGGCAAACUACACGUCUUGAGCCCGACAGGGGCCGUUGGAACUGUAGGUGGAGCGGUGAAAUGCGUAGAUAUCUACAGGAACGCCAAAGGUGAAGACAGACGGCUG
This 637-nucleotide ribosomal RNA is filed under the name uncultured Planctomycetota bacterium. Its description in RNAcentral is "bacterial SSU rRNA". It matches the Rfam family "Bacterial small subunit ribosomal RNA", at positions 75 to 731 of the family's 1533-position model. Lineage: Bacteria; Pseudomonadati; Planctomycetota. The record is from RNAcentral.